CAAGCACCUCGGUAGGUGAGGCGUCUGCAUGGACACAGGCCACUGACCCCGAACGUCGAGAGACGCCCCGGGUCAGGACAGCUCUUCCCGGACCCAAGGGUUGAGCCCAAGUGGCUUCCGGAACGCGGGUUGCGACUUCCGGAUACGCCGUGCAGUGCCGAAGCUCCGACGAGAGGGGUGCCGC
This 184-nucleotide small RNA is filed under the name Mycobacterium scrofulaceum. Its description in RNAcentral is "Magnesium sequence". It matches the Rfam family "M-box riboswitch aptamer (ykoK leader)". From Rfam's summary of the family: M-box riboswitch, also know as ykoK leader is described as a metaloregulatory RNA that sense divalent metals and function as a genetic control element of genes related to divalent metal transport in bacteria. Lineage: Bacteria; Bacillati; Actinomycetota; Actinomycetes; Mycobacteriales; Mycobacteriaceae. The record is from RNAcentral.